GACCUCGGUAGCUUAGCGGUUCCAAGCAGUGGGGCGUAAACCUGAAGUCCUGGGUUCAAAUCCCAGUCGAGUUCA
Henosepilachna vigintioctopunctata is the source of this 75-nucleotide non-coding RNA. Lineage: Eukaryota; Metazoa; Arthropoda; Insecta; Coleoptera; Coccinellidae. The record is from the annotation of a GenBank genome assembly.